RNAcentral lists this ribosomal RNA (561 nucleotides) under uncultured bacterium. Its description in RNAcentral is "bacterial SSU rRNA". It matches the Rfam family "Bacterial small subunit ribosomal RNA", at positions 338 to 916 of the family's 1533-position model. The record is from RNAcentral.
CCUACGGGAGGCAGCAGUGGGGAAUAUUGGACAAUGGGCGAAAGCCUGAUCCAGCAAUGCCGCGUGAGUGAUGAAGGCCUUAGGGUUGUAAAGCUCUUUUACCCGGGAUGAUAAUGACAGUACCGGGAGAAUAAGCUCCGGCUAACUCCGUGCCAGCAGCCGCGGUAAUACGGAGGGAGCUAGCGUUAUUCGGAAUUACUGGGCGUAAAGCGCACGUAGGCGGCUUUGUAAGUAAGAGGUGAAAGCCUGGUGCUCAACACCAGAACUGCCUUUUAGACUGCAUCGCUUGAAUCCAGGAGAGGUGAGUGGAAUUCCGAGUGUAGAGGUGAAAUUCGUAGAUAUUCGGAAGAACACCAGUGGCGAAGGCGGCUCACUGGACUGGUAUUGACGCUGAGGUGCGAAAGCGUGGGGAGCAGACAGGAUUAGAUACCCUGGUAGUCCACGCCGUAAACGAUGAUAACUAGCUGUCGGGGCUCUUAGAGCUUCGGUGGCGCAGCUAACGCAUUAAGUUAUACGCCUGGGGAGUACGGCCGCAAGGUUAAAACUUAAAGGAAUUGACGG